This is a long non-coding RNA of Vitis riparia (riverbank grape), 1111 nucleotides long. RefSeq lists it as uncharacterized. The transcript is spliced from 3 exons. The record is from RefSeq and is a predicted model, not a curated record. Lineage: Eukaryota; Viridiplantae; Streptophyta; Magnoliopsida; Vitales; Vitaceae.
AAAUUAUUUUCUGUCUUUUCGGUUUCGGAGGUGUCUCUCGUGUCUUUCGAUCAAGUCUGUAUUGAUUCGUGCUGCACCCAAACACAACCAUUUUUCUCGGUAUUUCUGUGGCUGUCGUGGACAUUACGCACAGAUUCCGGUGGUGAGUAUUUGUCUACUGAGUUUCAAGCAUUCUUGGCUUCUAAGGGUAUUAUUCAUCAACGUUCAUGUCCCUCUACUCCUCAACAAAAUGGAGUUGUCGAACGCAAAAAUCGUCAUCUCUUAGACGUGCAGUUCUCAGAUCUUCAUCCAGUUAGUUCUCGCUUUCAACCAGGUAUUAUGUAUAUGAGACGUUCCCGCCCAUAGUCUCUUUUGGUGGCUCACCCGAUAUCUGAUCCUACCAUGCUCCAGAUUCAGUCAAUUGCAGUACCUCCAACACCUUUAGUACGUCGCUCUCCUCGAGUGUUUGUACCUCCGAAUAGGUAUGGAUUUCCCUCUUCCAGUUCUGGCAAUUCUAUUUCAGCCCUUACUAUUGCAUUGUCCAAUUUUGAUAUUCCCACAUGCUACUCACAUGUUGCCAAGCAUGAUUGUUGGCAACAAGCUAUGCAGGAAGAAAUUGCCGCUCUAGAGGCCAAUCACACUUGGAACAUUGAGCCCUGUCCUCCCAUUAUUGUUCCUCUAGGUUGCAAAUGGGUUUACUUAGUCAAGGUCUGAUCUGAUGGAAGUUUGGAUCGUUACAAAGUUCGGCUUGUUGCACUUGGGAAUAAUCAGGAAUAUGGUGUCAAUUAUUAAGAGACUUUUGCUCUUGUGGCUAAAAUGACUAUUGUUCGUACGAUUCUAGCUCUUGCUGCUUCAAUGAUUGGCCACUACAUUAAAUGGAUGUAAAAAAUGUUUUUCGUCAUGGGGAUCUUAAAGAGUGUAUUUAUAUGAAGCCACCAUCGGGAUUGUAUCCCUCUCUGACUUCACAUGUGUGUAAGCUUCGUCACUCUCUUUAUUGUCUCAAACAGGCUCCGAGGGCCUAGUUUGAUAAAUUCCGCACCACUUUAUUACAAUUUUCAUUCAGGCAGAGCAAGUAUGACAUUUCCUUAUUUCUUUGAAAAUCAGACAUGAGUAUUGUUGUUCUUUUGGUUUA